Non-coding RNA from Echinostoma caproni, 67 nucleotides. The record is from Rfam. Lineage: Eukaryota; Metazoa; Platyhelminthes; Trematoda; Plagiorchiida; Echinostomatidae.
UAGCUCAGCUGGUAGAGCAUGCGCGUACAAAGCGUAGGCGGCGUCCAUGCGUGGGUUCGAAUCCCAC